GACGAACGCUGGCGGCGUGCUUAACACAUGCAAGUCGAACGGACAGGCCCUGCUUUUGUGGGGUGCUCGAGUGGCGAACGGGUGAGUAACACGUGAGUAAACUGCCCUUGACUGUGGGAUAACUUCUGGAAACUGGGGCUAAUACCGGAUAGGAGCUCCUGCUGCAUGGGGGGGGUUGGAAAGUUUCGGCGGUUGGGGAUGGACUCGCGGCUUAUCCGCUUGUUGGUGGGGUAGUGGCUUACCAAGGCUUUGACGGGUAGCCGGCCUGGGAGGGGGACCGGCCACAAGGGGACUGAGAGACGGCCCAGACGCCUACGGGAGGCAGCAGUGGAGAAUAUUGCACAAUGGGCGGAAGCCUGAUGCAGCAACGCCGCGUGCGGGAUGACGGGCUUCGAGUUGUAAACCGCUUUCGCCGUUGACGAAGCGUGAGUGACGGUAAUGGGUAAAGAAGCCCCGGCUAACUACGUG
Molecule: ribosomal RNA, 468 nt
Filed under: uncultured bacterium
Lineage: Bacteria
Description: partial 16S ribosomal RNA
Rfam family: Bacterial small subunit ribosomal RNA
Source: RNAcentral